RNAcentral lists this non-coding RNA (20 nucleotides) under Rattus norvegicus (Norway rat). Lineage: Eukaryota; Metazoa; Chordata; Mammalia; Rodentia; Muridae. The record is from RNAcentral.
UUACUGGCUUAUGGUGUGGC